CUCUUAAGGAUAUUUUUAGUGUAGCUUCAAAAUUUAUUUGUAUAAAAUAAACAGUUGCAAACAAAACGCGAUAAAAGUGAGCAGUGGUGGAUAAAAAACUAAUCGAUCAAGUAAAGCAACUUGAGCGUUUCAACAGGCCGACUAUAUUCCCGAAUAAUUCGAAUUCUGAUGUUAAUGAUUUUCGUCGAUUUACUUGGGAUUAUUCAAAAUUACGACAUAAAUGUAUAACUGGAUAAGAAAUUGGCCAAGAAGUAAUGAGCGAACGAAAGUGAUUUAACAUUACGUUUCCAGAUAUCAGAUACCUAAUCACGAACUGUCACAUCCAAAAUAGCAAAACCAGAAACAGAGAACCAAAGAUACCACAACCAGAAACCAUAAGCAGAACCAGAACCAGAGAACAGUCACAAUCUCAAAUCCUAAUCUAAUUACCAACCACCACCACCUCCGCCGCUUCCUCCAUAACCACCACCUUCACCACCUCCGUAUCCACCACCCUCGCGUCUGCCACCACCGUAGCUUCCGCCGCCACCACCUCCUCUUGAGGAGUAUCCACCUCCACCACCAGAGUAACCACCCUCGCGUCUUCCGCCGCCACCUCCGUAUCCACCGCCACCACCUCCGUAGCCACCGCCGCCGCUGCGGUAUCCACCGCCACCACCACCACGGCCGCCUCCGCCACCGCUUCCACGUGACUGAGCCUCGUUCACAGUGAUGCUGCGACCAUCGAGCUCCUGUCCGUUCAUUCCCUCAAUGGCGUCUUUCAUGGAUUUCUCAUCCUUGAAAGUGACGAAUCCGAAUCCCCUCGAUCUUCCAGUCUCACGAUCGUUAAUGAUCUGGAAACAUAAAAACGAAACAGAUCAGCCAAAUAAUCCAACACAGACGGACACACAAAUCGAGCCAAAAAAUUUCAAAAAGAAAACGAUCGAUCUCCGGGCUCAUAAAAGCAGGAAGAUGAACGUACCGAUUGGGAAAAACAAGUAACAGAGUAACAAAGAACGAGAGAGAGAGCAUGCAUAGUAACAGUAAUUCGAAUCAAGUAACAGAGAAACACAGAUCGGAACAGAUCCGUCGAGGAUCAGAAUCAUCGGAAUCCCGGAGAGUCCGAUC
RNAcentral lists this long non-coding RNA (1107 nucleotides) under Eutrema salsugineum. RNAcentral's name for it is "long non-coding RNA (ESAL_LNC001430)". The record is from RNAcentral. Lineage: Eukaryota; Viridiplantae; Streptophyta; Magnoliopsida; Brassicales; Brassicaceae.